Molecule: ribosomal RNA, 253 nt
Filed under: uncultured bacterium
Lineage: Bacteria
Description: partial 16S ribosomal RNA
Rfam family: Bacterial small subunit ribosomal RNA
Source: RNAcentral
UACGUAGGGGGCGAGCGUUGUCCGGAUUUACUGGGCGUAAAGAGCGUGUAGGCGGCCCGGUAGGUCAGUUGUGAAAACUCGAGGCUCAACCUCGAGACGUCGAUGGAAACCAUCUGGCUAGAGUCCGGAAGAGGAGCGUGGAAUUCCUGGUGUAGCGGUGAAAUGCGUAGAGAUCAGGAGGAACACCCAUGGCGAAGGCAGCGCUCUGGUCGGCAUCUGACGCUGAGAGGCGAAAGCGUGGGGAGCGAACGGG